GACGAACGCUGGCGGCGUGCUUAACACAUGCAAGUCGAACGAAGAGCGAUGGAAGCUUGCUUCUAUCAAUCUUAGUGGCGAACGGGUGAGUAACGCGUAAUCAACCUGCCCUUCAGAGGGGGACAACAGUUGGAAACGACUGCUAAUACCGCAUACGAUCCAAUCUCGGCAUCGGGACUGGAUGAAAGGUGGCCUCUAUUUAUAAGCUAUCACUGAAGGAGGGGAUUGCGUCUGAUUAGCUAGUUGGAGGGGUAACGGCCCACCAAGGCGAUGAUCAGUAGCCGGUCUGAGAGGAUGAACGGCCACAUUGGGACUGAGACAAGGCCCAGACUCCUAAGGGAGGCAGCAGUGGGGAAUCUUCCGCAAUGGACGAAAGUCUGACGGAGCAACGCCGCGGGAGUGAUGACGGCCUUCGGGUUGUAAAGCUCUGUUAAUCGGGACGAAUGGUUCUUGUGCGAAUAGUGCGAGGAUUUGACGGUACCGGAAGAGAAAGCCACGGCUAACUACGUG
RNAcentral lists this ribosomal RNA (510 nucleotides) under uncultured bacterium. RNAcentral describes it as "partial 16S ribosomal RNA". It matches the Rfam family "Bacterial small subunit ribosomal RNA", at positions 28 to 507 of the family's 1533-position model. The record is from RNAcentral.